CCCGCCAUCCUCGUUACACGAGGGGCAACCAUUAUAUUUAUUUUUAGUGGUGGUGAGAGUGGUGGUAGUGGAGGACCCGACCAGGGGUACCAUACUCAACAGGUUCACACCAUACCAGAAAUAUAACAGUAGCUAAAACAACUGCAUACUUUAUGGGAAACAAUAUGAGACCAUGGACGAUAAAUUUGGGUAUAUGAGGGCUGUCACUAGUCACACGUAAAAUUUCGGAGCAUAUCGACCCCCACCUACACAAAUAGUUGUUUUAGCAACUGUACAGGAAAUACAACCUGUCAUAACUGUAUUGAUAAUAAUUUAAGAGAAACUGUAGACAUACAUGAACAAAAAGCAUGGGUGUGUGAUCAUUAUACACAAACAUAGGUGGAGGUGUAUGAUCAUUGAAGUUACCGAGUGGCACCUUCCCAUGCUAGUUUCGGGUGCUAGGAAUUGUCCAUGCCCGAUAUGAUGAGGAUAUACGAGGCAAUUGCAAAAGUCAACUUUAUUUCCCUUGUCUCUCUUAACCUGAGAUGAUACAACAGGUAAAGGUAAUCCCGGAUAUAGUCAGGUAAUCAGGUUACAGUGAUGACCUGACAUACACUGACCCGGUAGAACAGCCAUAGUGAUUGAUUUGAGUAAUCUCGAUUGACUCCAAUCCUGUGUUGACCUGCCACGACCUCCCCUUCGACAGGAGAGAGUAUCAGCCUUGUUGCAACUCAAUCCCGACUUCAGAAUAACGUUUCCCAUCACGUGACCCUUUAUCCUGUGACCCAGCAAGAGGUCGUUGAGGCAGCAAUGACGUGUCCUUAGGUCGGCUGUGAGGGACUCUGAUACUUGCGACUUCCGCUUUAAAAUAAUAUCAAUUAUAAUUUUGUAGAGGAUUUCCAUACUUGAGUGUCUUCAUUAAUUAUUUACGAGGACAACUGGAUCCAGUUAUCAGAAUGUCUCUCGGUGAAAUAUCAGUGACUGGCUCCCACGCAACUCACUCACCAAUCCACUUAAUGACUCACCCGUCCUAUUGACCUACCUUCCAAUCCACCCAGAGUUCAUCCACCUAUUCACUCAUCCAGUUCAUCCACCCACUUGUCCUUUCAACUCAUAUUCCAUUAUAUUAUUCAGUCAUUCCUCGACUGACUCUCUCUCUCUCUCUCUCAGCCAACACAACCCAUUUACCCAUCAAACUCAUCCAUCUACCAAAUUAUCAUCAAAAUGUGAACAGCGGAAGUCCAAUAUAAUUCCUAUCCUGAGAGAGAGAGAGAGACUUGUAAAGUGGAAGCUGAACUUAAAACAGGUGCCAGGGAAGGCUUUACUCUUCGUUCCACUUGUUAAACGUUUACAGUCCAUCACACCUACCGCAUUGGAGAAGUUUAAUAGGAGACUGAAAAGUGGAAGCUCUGGUAACCUCUUUAAGCAAAAUUCUGUUAACCUAAGACACCACUCUGUACACGCAUUUAUCUGUGUGUCUCCGGAUUUAUCUUCCCAGGUCUGUUAUCGUUUGUGAUUAACUGCUUUAUAUUGGUUAAAAUUCUCCAAAUCGUGAGAAAAUCACUGGUGUCUACAGAUAGCUGUAAAACCAUUAUACUAAAUUAAUAAAAAAAAGUCACUGUACAUUUCUUCAUUUUCUCAGAUUGAAUUAAAAACUUUCGACUUUCUAAUUACUCACAAGCAGAUCUCUCGACUCAUCUAUCUGCAUUGAGCGAGUGGUAAAAUUUUUUAUUCGCGGUGAAAGGAAUUCUAAAACGUUACGCAUAUCCUCAAGGAAAAAUAAAAAGAAAGAAUCGUCGCUUAGGAUAAUAUUUUUGAUAGUCUAAAUACGUAAGUAUGUGAGACCUUACUAGUUUUUAUUAUCUUUCAUAUGACAAUUACAACAAUAAAAAAGAAAAACCACCCAAGUAAAAUGUAGCUUUGUAAAUUUAUUGCUCACAGAAGCCAGCGAGCCCCCUUUAAGAACUUGACAACCCUGUAGUGGCUCCUGUACCUCAUUGUAGUGUCUUGGGUAAGGAACCAUUCAGUGUUACAGCUCACAAGGCAGCUCUGUUCUUAAGUUUUGUUUUUAAGUAUCGGCAGUGUAUGAUGAAGCUGGACGCACCAAAUUUUUCAGACAUAAAAUUUUUUUUUCAAGUGUCCGUACUUGAUGUAACAAUUCAAUUAGAGGAAAUAAUGUAAUGCCACACUCCCUUGUACUUGGCAAUGGAGUUAAACAAGGUGCUGUCUUUAGGUUUAUAUGAAUUGCUAUCUUCGGCGACCUAUGGUGUAAGGGUCACCGUACUCGCCUUCCAAAUGAGUGACCCCAAGUUCGAUCCUCAAACAGAUUAAAACAAUAGGCAAGAUUUGUACACCAUUUGCCUCUGUCUACCCAGUAAUAAUUCUUUAACACUGGGUCAAACAGUUCGUUAACUCACAUGUGAUUGUUGAUGUUGCUGCCAUCAGGUUCUACACAUUAAUUAUUCAUGCUCAAGUGACCUUAGCGCCGGCCAGCAGCAAUUUAUUUUAUCCUCUGUUACAAGAAGUAUGAUUUAAUAAUGUUUUUAAACGUAUUGGUUGUUCUUGUUAUAAUGUACUUCAUCAUCUAAGGUAAAGCAUGAACAUUCAGUUAGUUUAUAUAUUAGACAACAAAUGUUAUGAGAACAGAUAUAAUUUUUUUAUCACCUGUGCUAAUAACUUUUAGCGUAUUAAUGACAUAAGGAGUGAUCCAUUUGUGUGACAGGUAUGAUAGUGUGUAGAGUGACACACAGAAUCCUUACACACGUGUCUUGAUAACUCAGAUACAACAUUACUGGAGACUGACGCUCACAGUCAUAUGGUGAAUAGUCCGGCAGCGAGAGGGACCAACCUCAAAGUGUUUGAUAUAGUUGUUCUCUUUUGUCAUUAUUCUUCUAUAGGGUCUGUGAACAGUUCCAGGUGGGUGUGGAGUUCUCACCUUGUCCAGGAUUUUUUGGCCAAACACAAGAUCACACAGGUCCGGCAGGCUCCCUACUCUUCUGACAUGGCUCCCUGUGACUUUUGGCUGUUUUCUAAUAUUAAGAUGCCGCUGAAGGGUUCGAGAUUUGAGGACACAAAUGAGAUAAAGAAAUUUGCGACAAAGAUCAUGUUGGCGAUCCCAAAAAAUGACUUUACAAAAUGUUUCCAGCAAUGGAAGGACCGCUGGCCAAAGUGUGUUGAGUCCCAAGGGGCCUACUUUGAAGGGGAUUAAAGUCUGAACUCAGUCAGUAAGCUUGUUUUUUUUCACCGGCUAAAGGUCGGAUACUUUUCGAUCAGACCUCGUACAGUACUGGAUUAAGAAAAAAUUAAUGUCACAAUUUUAUUGAAAAAAAUCGAGAAAAAAAAAGUCAAUAUAAUAUAUAUGUUUUCACAUGGCUUCACACCCCCCCCCCUCCCCCAGUGUGGGAACCACUGGUCCCACACUUUGCAGAACUUUCUCAAUACUAUUGAUCUUCAUAUUCCAAAUGCACUUGACGUAAUUGCUAACUAUAUGGCAAGACUUAUGAAGGUACUGUAUCUAUGAGCAAGGAGCUCUAUGUGAAGCUAAAGAAAGAGAUAUAGUCAAGAUAUCUUCUUGCCACUCAAAUACUGGAACUUGGUGAAAUGCUUGAGCAUUAUCUCCGGUCACAAAAGUAACUUGAUAGAUAUUGCAAUUUUUGUAAUGCUACAGUUGCUCAAUGUCACGUUGAUUCAACCAGAUAUUACUCCUUCAGUGGACUACAGUUUUCACAUAUUCACCAGUAACUCUUGGAAAACAAAACUCUAGAUCUAAAGAUUGCUUUGAUCAGGCCUGCACUCUAUAGAUGGGCUAUGUAGAAAAUUAAGUUAUCUAAAAUUGUACAUUAUGUUGGGGAAAAUAUUUUUUGGCUGUAUAGAAAAUAAAUUAUGUUUGGUACUUACUGGGAAAUCUGUGCAGUCCUCAAACUGUAGGGAAUUUCUACAUGUGGAAAAUCCUAAGACAUGAACUUAGAAUAGUUUAUACACUUCUUUCACUUUCAGGACAUAAUACAGUAAAAACCCCAUAAUUCGAAUUACAGUAAUAUGUGCUCUACCCAUUACAUAUUAUGAGAUUUAAAAAAAUUUGAGGGACACCUCCUGGGAAAAAAAAAAAAAAAAAAAAACAGUAUUUUUCCCAUUAUGUGCCCCAAUCAAAAUUUAAACAUUUAUAAGUACAGUACCUUUGUACCAGAUUUCGUUGCUUGGUCCCUGGUUAUCAGAUAUAAUAGCUCAACACUCGGCAAUAAUGGAAUAACAAGUAGAAAAAUGCUUGCAUAGUAGACCGUAGAUUUACACUCCAUGACUCACCAAUGUGAACUGACCGUUACCAACACGCAUGGCACAUAUAGUACUUGUUUACACUGAAGCGGACGGUUGCUUCCCAUGACGACUUGUGCGUUAUAGUAUAUAUUCAUUAGUCUCUCAUAAUCUGCAAUUUUACCAAAUACAUACUGUAUUACCAAAUUUUUAAUACUGUAUACAACAUACAGUACUGUAUAUUGUAAUAUUUCAAAAUUUUACCAAAUAUUAUGAAAUUUGUAAUAUAUAUUUUGUAACAGCAAAAAUUUACAGAUUAUGAAUGAUUUCCAAUUACUGUAGAGGGGUACGAAUUAUGGAGUUUUUACUCUAUACAGUAUAAAAUAUAUAAUCAGAGUUACCGGAGCCAAAAGGAAGCUAAAACAACCAAUAAACUCUUACCUGAUAAGUGAUGAAUUAAAGGUUGCCACAACAUAUGUACAGUAUAUGUUCUCUAUGGCUGCUCUAUUAAUGGUCUUUUGGCUAUAGAUAUCAAGUUUAUUUCCUGCUAUGCCCAAGGCACAGCCAAUAAAAACACAUUAUCAGUAGGAGUAUCAUCUAAAAUAUAUGUUGGGAAAAAUUAUCAUUUUCAUAUAUCACCCAAACUAUAGGUAACACACUACAGUACAGGAAAAUUCUCUACCUGUUUAGAUGCAUGAUAGUUUCUUGCCCAAAAUAUUCAAAACUUUUCAUCUCAUAAAAUUUGUGCAAUUAUGAUGAUUUCCUGAGUAAACUAUCACCCUACAGCUACUAAAAGAGCAAUAUGCUUCACCAAAUUACUUUACAGUUCAGUAACCAAAAGGAAUAUGGGAACCCAUUGUGGGAGCAUAGUAUAUCUUAAAUCUAGUGUUAAAAACCUAACAAUAACUCAUCCUAAAUUUUGGGGAUGGUUGUGUUAAGAAAGGAGUGUGUUUAGAAAGAGGAAUUAAUUGUACUAAUGAUUAAUUCUGAUGCAGUUAAGAUGAAAAUAUGAAAUAUUUAAAAAUAAUACCCAAUCUAUAAAAUUAUUAAUAAAUCAUGGUUAACACUACUGUACUUCCUGUUAUGUAUCUACUCAGAGCACUUCCUUAACUAGGGCAUGUGGACAGUUUCUGCAGUGACUACUCAAUAUUGAUUUAUUCUCACUUCAUAACAGUACCACUGCCAUAUACAGCAUGUAAUUUUUCCUUGAAUACUAUUUCAACUCACUUUUUCUAAUUGGAGGGAAAACUUGCAAUAAAUUAAAAUCAGAAUAUCUUACAAUAAGCAUCAUAUUAAUCAAGUUUGUACAAUGAUUUCAGACAUGGUUGGUAAGGAUGUUACUUAUGGGGGCUGGGGUGGCAGUAUCAUUACCGACUAUGGAAUAAUUACUACUGAUGACUGUGGCACUACUGUUGAUGGUGAAGGAGUUGUUAAUGAGUGUGGUGUCUAGUUCUUCUUCAUCCUCAGCUUCGUCAUUGUCAGCACUAUUAACAGUCAAACUCUCUUUCCACUCCCUCUGUGUCAACCAAACUGCAAAAACAAAACUUAUAUUAGCAACCAGUUCAAGUAGGAUUAGAAUAUACCUUAUUUGCACAGUCAGAAGCUGCACCUUUUAUUGCACAAUAAAAUAGAAGUUGGGGAGCAAAUUAAAAAAAAAUUACUAUCCUGGGUUGGAUGGUAUUGAAGUUCAGGAGCCCAAUGAAGCAUCCAUACCCACAGUGUCUGUAACCCAUAAUGGUGUAAUAAAACACUGAAUCAUU
This is a long non-coding RNA of Homarus americanus (American lobster), 5990 nucleotides long. RefSeq lists it as uncharacterized. Lineage: Eukaryota; Metazoa; Arthropoda; Malacostraca; Decapoda; Nephropidae. The record is from RefSeq and is a predicted model, not a curated record. The transcript is spliced from 2 exons.